AAGUUCCUUCUCCUUAAGGGUCUGAUGCUCUUGAAAGACAUUCUCCCUCAGCUUGUGUAUGCUUGAUGGAAGAGAUGAAAAUAGGAACAGAUCAAUAAAACAGACGUGCAGCUUUGCCUCCUGGUAUGAUAAAUAAGAACAGGUGACAUUAUCUUUGUAAAUUUGUAAAUCUGCUUAUCUGAUGUUCACCGAUUCUCUCCCUGCACUGUGCCUUCCUGACUAUUCUGCCGGCUGGUACACCCACUUCGGCAGUCUGCAGUAUCAGACGCAUGCUCUGUGGGAGACAGAACACGAAUCUGAAGGCAGACACUGGGAUCAUCCCAAAUCCCCGCUAAAGAUGGCUCUACUGAAGCCUGACCUUUAUUUCACACGCAGAAAAUAGGAAAGCUAGUCUGUAAUCAUCCAGAGGUAGAGGGGGAAACACGAGGCUAUGGUCCCUUCCUCGGCCACUGGCAGAAGUCCAGUGGUGCUGAACAUUCAGAUGAUUCGUCUGUACUUGAAGUACUCCAGCUUUUUUAUACAUUCAAAGAUGAGAGGAAAGCGUUUCAGAAUUUAACAUCUAAAUGCCAUUAAAAAAUUUUAAUACAGCAGAUAAUGAAACAGAUGACAAGGUUUGCUCAAAUCUGGUAGGCCAGACACAGCUGUCAUUGAGAGACCCCAGAGUGAUAAGAAGGCCACUUUGGCAUUCGGACUUUCUGCCCAGGAGACACCAGGACGCCACCUUUGACAUCUGGACGACAAUCCUAGAAUUGAAGAUGAAAUACAAACCAGGCUUGGAAACCGCCCAAUACCCUUAUGAGCAGGAGAAAGAAAGACACCACUCCUAAAACCUGGGAAGGCCCCAGAGCAUGAAGAAUGGGCUUAUUCCCCAUGUGUUCCUCUCUGAAUCCUAACCAGCCCAAGGGUUUUGUACUGGAGAGUUGUUUUUUCUCCAAGCCACCCUCCGAGACAUGUUUUGAAGCCACAGGGAACAGAAGAGAUGAGAAGAGGUAUGAUGACUCAACGAAUUCAGGAGUCUGCUUAACGCCAUAGCAAAUACCCAAGGCUACAGUGGACUCCCAAGUCAGCCCCAUUCCAGUCUCUUGUCCUGGGCAGCCGCACGGCCACCGGAGUUCCGAAGCUGCUUCUGUGGAAGGGAGUGUGCUGAGCAAGCCAGAGAGGGACUAAAACUUGUGUAUAAAAAGCCACUGGGGGCCAG
RNAcentral lists this long non-coding RNA (1198 nucleotides) under Homo sapiens (human). RNAcentral describes it as "HSALNT0363635". Lineage: Eukaryota; Metazoa; Chordata; Mammalia; Primates; Hominidae. The record is from RNAcentral.